RNAcentral lists this ribosomal RNA (253 nucleotides) under uncultured bacterium. Its description in RNAcentral is "partial 16S ribosomal RNA". It matches the Rfam family "Bacterial small subunit ribosomal RNA", at positions 524 to 776 of the family's 1533-position model. The record is from RNAcentral.
UACGUAGGUGGCAAGCGUUGUCCGGAUUUAUUGGGUUUAAAGGGUGCGUAGGCGGUCUAUUAAGUCAGUGGUGAAAUACUCCAGCUUAACUGGAGGGGUGCCAUUGAUACUGACGGACUUGAGUGAAGUCGAGGUAGGCGGAAUUGACGGUGUAGCGGUGAAAUGCUUAGAUAUCGUCAAGAACACCAAUAGUGAAGACAGCUUACUAGGCUUAUACUGACGCUGAGGCACGAAAGUGUGGGGAUCAAACAGG